This 456-nucleotide ribosomal RNA is filed under the name uncultured bacterium. RNAcentral describes it as "bacterial SSU rRNA". It matches the Rfam family "Bacterial small subunit ribosomal RNA", at positions 923 to 1379 of the family's 1533-position model. The record is from RNAcentral.
GCACAAGCGGUGGAGCAUGUGGUUUAAUUCGACGCAACGCGAAGAACCUUACCUGGGCUCGAAAUGUACAGGACAGCGGUAGAAAUAUCGUCUCCCAGCAAUGGGUCUGUAUAUAGGUGCUGCAUGGCUGUCGUCAGCUCGUGUCGUGAGAUGUUGGGUUAAGUCCCGCAACGAGCGCAACCCUUAUCUCCAGUUGCUACCAUUUAGUUGAGCACUCUGGCGAAACCGCCUCGGAUAACGGGGAGGAAGGUGGGGAUGACGUCAAGUCCUCAUGGCCUUUAUGUCCAGGGCUACACACGUGCUACAAUGGCCGGUACAAACCGCUGCAACCCCGCGAGGGUGAGCUAAUCGGAAAAAGCCGGCCUCAGUUCGGAUUGGAGUCUGCAACUCGACUCCAUGAAGCUGGAAUCGCUAGUAAUCGUGGAUCAGCAUGCCACGGUGAAUACGUUCCCGGGC